AUGCGGGGACCUGGCGCCGCGGUGGCUUGGCGAGGCGGACGAGCUCUAGGACAAGCGCGUGGAGCAGAGCAGCAGGGACCCGGGGUCUACCGCAGGAGGUCGGGGCAUGGUCGUGGCAUGGAGGAGGAGCAGCAACUCGGAUCUGGAGGAAGGCCAUGGCAGAGGCGGUCCAGUGAGGUUGGCAAGGCUCCGGUGGAGCUGCUCGCUGGCGGCGGCCAGAGGCAGAGGCGGGGCGAUCCAGCGAUGGAGAGGGAGGCGCAAGGAAGGAGGGGCCAACGCAGGAUCCGGGCAGCAGAGGGAGGAGGGCCACGGAUCGGGAGGAGCAGUGCUGAGGCGGCGCUGGAGGGAGAUCGAGAGGGAGGAGGGGUCGAUGGAGAAAGGGUUCAAGGGAGAUGGCUCCUGGAGGCGGUGAGGGAACAAGGGAAGGAGGGAGUAGCGAUGCGGGAGGGGUUAGGGUAA
Molecule: ribosomal RNA, 459 nt
Filed under: Triticum aestivum (bread wheat)
Lineage: Eukaryota; Viridiplantae; Streptophyta; Magnoliopsida; Poales; Poaceae
Description: partial small subunit ribosomal RNA
Source: RNAcentral